Molecule: long non-coding RNA, 263 nt
Organism: Saccostrea cuccullata (small rock oyster)
Lineage: Eukaryota; Metazoa; Mollusca; Bivalvia; Ostreida; Ostreidae
Exons: 4
Source: RefSeq, a predicted model, not a curated record
ACGACAACAGUAUUCAUACAAUUGAGGAUAAUGCAUUCAGUGAUUUGACAAAUUUAUGGACUUUAUUAAUGUACCAAAACAACAUUACUGCAAUGAAUGAAAACACAUUUACUGGUUUGAAAAGCUUAAAGCUUAUGUUUCUAUCUCGCAACAGCAUAACCACAAUAGAGGAUAACACGUUCAAUGAUCUGACAAACUUAGAGAAACUGUAUCUAAUCGGCAACAGCAUAACCACAAUAGAGGAUAAAGCGUUCAAUAAUCUA